UCUCUCUCUCUCUUAGGCGCCCAAAAUGGCUGGCCCCCUGCCCAUACCAAGACUGGGCCCUGCUGUCCAGGCUGUAGUUAAACUCCUCUGCCAGUAGAGAGUUCACUCCAACCUGUCAAGUCCCCUCCAGAUUCUCUCUUUGAAAGAGAUCACGGAAGGGGAUGGUGAAACUCAGGAUCAGCCGUGAUGGUGGAUCACCUCAAUGAGUCGAUUGGUCUCCUCUCCCUCCUCUUCCUAUCCAGGUAUCCCCGGCUGUUCAAAUGUUCGCUUUAUGCCUCUUCGCUUUCACAAAAGUCCUACGUUAGUACCUGCUUUCGCUAACUGAAAGUAAUCCGAAGAGGAUUUUGGCUUUUACGAGAAAAGGCAAACUGUUUCCUCUAUAAACGAAUGUUUCUUCGCUUUUUACCAUUUCGGUUUACAAAAGGUUUCAUAGGAACGCUGCACUUUCGGAUAGCGGGGAUGGGGGGGGGGCUACCUGUAUGGAGGCCCCUCCCAUCAAGCCCCACCAGCCAAGAUGGUGGUUACAGCUGAGCAGCCCCACCCCCGCCCGACUCUCUACUUGCUGCCUCAUGUGACACGCGUGUUCCUUUUCCCUACGCGUGCAGGGCCCUGGAGGAGUACAUGAACGACUCUGUAAACUACGUGAUCACGGCAGAGGAGUGGGAUGACCGAUUUGACGAGGCUCUGACGGAGAACUCCAACCUGGCCUUUGUGAAGCCUCGAUGGGUGUACGUAUGCAAUGCGAAGCAGAGAAUGGUGCCCCACCAGCCCUAUGUGGUGGUCCCUCAGCAAUAGCGGUUCGAAACCCAUCUCCUCUUGGUCCCCUGAGGCCAGAGGGAGGGCAGUGGAGCUGAACACUGAGGGGGCAGAGACCCCCGGAUCCUGGCAUCAAACCUGUCAGGCCAGCUGAGCGUGUGUGAGGAAACAAAGCAAGUUACCAUGGCGAUGAGGGAGGCCAUUCGGUCCACUGAGUUCAUUCUAGUUCUGCGUAAGAUGAUCCAGUUAGCCCCAUUCUUGCUGGAUUCUUGUAGCAUUGCAAGUUUAUUUCUCUCAUAUGUCUCUUCAAAUUCCAUUUGAAAUCAUUCAUCAUCUGCGCUUCCCCCCCCCCCCCAACACCCUUGGGCAGAGACCCCUUCCCUUGACCUUUUUCCUCAAAACCUGAAGACUCUGUCUCCCCCAGUCCUUCCUAUUGAGAACAGGUUUUCUUUGCCCACACUUUUUUUUAAUAUUUUUGGUUCGUUUUGUACCUUCCUACCUGGUAUCCUUCACUACCGGGAGAGUUAACCCUGUCACUGAAAUCUGUCCCCUCUGCAGCCCGUCCGAUGAAUCUCCCCCGCAGCCUCUCACCCCUCACAUUCCUUCUCAAGGAUAAAAACUUCCAAAAAUUCCAGAAUAACUUGCCUCUUGAAGGUGUAUUUUAGAUUAGCCUGUAUCAAGGUGAGAAACCGAAGAUGAGGUCACGCAGUCAGCAGUGCUACUGAUAUUGUUUGAAAUUGUCUAAAUCUUUGCUCAAUUGAUAGCUUUUGUUGUUUGAUUCUAUUUUCUUGUAAAUAAACCAGAUGCGUUUGCUUAAAGCCCUGAAGGGGUUUUUUGAAGCUGA
Chiloscyllium plagiosum (whitespotted bambooshark) is the source of this 1600-nucleotide non-coding RNA. Lineage: Eukaryota; Metazoa; Chordata; Chondrichthyes; Orectolobiformes; Hemiscylliidae. The record is from RefSeq and is a predicted model, not a curated record.